Molecule: ribosomal RNA, 486 nt
Filed under: uncultured bacterium
Lineage: Bacteria
Description: partial 16S ribosomal RNA
Rfam family: Bacterial small subunit ribosomal RNA
Source: RNAcentral
AUUGAACGCUGGCGGCAUGCCUUACACAUGCAAGUCGAACGGCAGCACGGGUGCUUGCACCUGGUGGCGAGUGGCGAACGGGUGAGUAAUACAUCGGAACAUGUCCUGUAGUGGGGGAUAGCCCGGCGAAAGCCGGAUUAAUACCGCAUACGAUCUACGGAUGAAAGCGGGGGACCUUCGGGCCUCGCGCUAUAGGGUUGGCCGAUGGCUGAUUAGCUAGUUGGUGGGGUAAAGGCCUACCAAGGCGACGAUCAGUAGCUGGUCUGAGAGGACGACCAGCCACACUGGAACUGAGACACGGCCCAGACUCCUACGGGAGGCAGCAGUGGGGAAUUUUGGACAAUGGGCGAAGGCCUGAUCCAGCAAUGCCGCGUGUGUGAAGAAGGCCUUCGGGUUGUAAAGCACUUUUGUCCGGAAAGAAAACCUUGGCCCUAAUACGUUCGGGGGAUGACGGUACCGGAAGAAUAAGCACCGGCUAACUACGUG